CCGAUAGUAGUUUGAAAGUCGAACGGUAACGGGCCUUCGGGUGCCGACGAGUGGCGAACGGGUGAGUAAUGCAUCGGAACGUACCUUUCAGUGGGGGAUAACGUAGCGAAAGUUACGCUAAUACCGCAUAUUCUGUGAGCAGGAAAGCAGGGGAUCGCAAGACCUUGCGCUGAUUGAGCGGCCGAUGUCAGAUUAGCUAGUUGGUGAGGUAAAGGCUCACCAAGGCGACGAUCUGUAGCGGGUCUGAGAGGAUGAUCCGCCACACUGGAACUGAGACACGGUCCAGACUCCUACGGGAGGCAGCAGUGGGGAAUUUUGGACAAUGGGGGCAACCCUGAUCCAGCCAGGCCGCGUGAGUGAAGAAGGCCUUCGGGUUGUAAAGCUCUUUCGGCCGGGAAGAAAUCGCAUGGGUUAAUACCCUGUGCGGAUGACGGUACCGGCAUAAGAAGCACCGGCUAACUACGUGCCAGCAGCCGCGGUAAUACGUAGGGUGCGAGCGUUAAUCGGAAUUACUGGGCGUAAAGCGUGCGCAGGCGGUUUUGUAAGACAGGCGUGAAAUCCCCGGGCUCAACCUGGGAACUGCGCUUGUGACUGCAAGGCUAGAGUACGGCAGAGGGGGGUGGAAUUCCACGUGUAGCAGUGAAAUGCGUAGAGAUGUGGAGGAACACCAAUGGCGAAGGCAGCCCCCUGGGUCGAUACUGACGCUCAUGCACGAAAGCGUGGGUAGCAAACAGGAUUAGAUACCCUGGUAGUCCACGCCCUAAACGAUGUCAACUAGGGUGUUGGGUGGGUAAAACCAUUUAGUACCGUAGCUAACGCGUGAAGUUGACCGCCUGGGGAGUACGGCCGCAAGGUUAAAACUCAAAGGAAUUGACGGGGACCCGCAC
Molecule: ribosomal RNA, 887 nt
Filed under: uncultured bacterium
Lineage: Bacteria
Description: bacterial SSU rRNA
Rfam family: Bacterial small subunit ribosomal RNA
Source: RNAcentral